AACUUUCAACAACGGAUCUCUUUGGUUCUGGCAUCGAUGAAGAACGCAGCGAAAUGCGAUAANUAAUGGGAAUUGCAGAAUUCAGUGAGUCAUCGAAUCUUUCGAACGCACAUUCGCGCCCUCGUGGUAUUCCGCAGGGCAUCGCCUNGUUNGAGCGUCAUUU
Molecule: ribosomal RNA, 163 nt
Filed under: Oidiodendron maius
Lineage: Eukaryota; Fungi; Ascomycota; Leotiomycetes; Myxotrichaceae
Description: 5.8S ribosomal RNA
Rfam family: 5.8S ribosomal RNA
About the family: 5.8S ribosomal RNA (5.8S rRNA) is a component of the large subunit of the eukaryotic ribosome. It is transcribed by RNA polymerase I as part of the 45S precursor that also contains 18S and 28S rRNA. Functionally, it is thought that 5.8S rRNA may be involved in ribosome translocation.
Source: RNAcentral